CGCCGCGGUAAUACGAAGGUCCCAAGCGUUGUUCGGAAUCACUGGGCGUAAAGGGAGCGUAGGCGGCGUGGUAAGUCAGAUGUGAAAUCCCGGGGCUCAACCCCGGAACUGCAUCCGAUACUGCCAUGCUUGAGGGUUGGAGAGGUAGCUGGAAUUCUCGGUGUAGCAGUGAAAUGCGUGGAUAUCGAGAGGAACACUCGUGGCGAAGGCGAGCUACUGGACAACAUCUGACGCUGAGGCUCGAAGGCUAGGGUAGCGAAAGGGAUUAGAUACCCGCGUAGUCCCUGUCUCUUAUACACAU
RNAcentral lists this ribosomal RNA (301 nucleotides) under uncultured bacterium. Its description in RNAcentral is "partial 16S ribosomal RNA". It matches the Rfam family "Bacterial small subunit ribosomal RNA", at positions 513 to 816 of the family's 1533-position model. The record is from RNAcentral.